This 47-nucleotide transfer RNA is filed under the name Nephilengys malabarensis. Its description in RNAcentral is "tRNA-Leu". Lineage: Eukaryota; Metazoa; Arthropoda; Arachnida; Araneae; Nephilidae. The record is from RNAcentral.
AUCUUUUUGGCAGAAAAUUGCAUUAGACUUAGACUCUAAAUACACUA